GAUGAACGCUGGCGGUAUGCUUAACACAUGAAAGUCGAACGGAGACUGCCCGGCCUGCGUGGGGGACGGGGGGGUGACGCGGGGGAAUAUAGCUUCGGGUUGGGGACCCCCACGCGGGAGGGGGGCUAGUACACAAGGUGCCGAUAAGGUAAAAGAUUAUUCGCUGGGGGAUGGGGGCGCGGCUUAUCAGCUUGUUGGUGGGGUGGUGGCUCACCAAGGCGGGGGCGGGUAGGGGGCCUGAGAGGGUGGACGGCCACAUUGGGACUGAGACACGGCCCAGACUCCUACGGGAGGCAGCAGUGGGGAAUAUUGCACAAUGGGCGGAAGCCUGAUGCAGCGACGCCGCGUGGGGGAUGACGGCCUUCGGGUUGUAAACUCCUUUCACCAUCGACGAAGGUUUUCUGACGGUAGAUGGAGAAGAAGCACCGGCUAACUACGUG
RNAcentral lists this ribosomal RNA (440 nucleotides) under uncultured bacterium. Its description in RNAcentral is "partial 16S ribosomal RNA". It matches the Rfam family "Bacterial small subunit ribosomal RNA", at positions 28 to 507 of the family's 1533-position model. The record is from RNAcentral.